RNAcentral lists this ribosomal RNA (468 nucleotides) under uncultured bacterium. Its description in RNAcentral is "partial 16S ribosomal RNA". It matches the Rfam family "Bacterial small subunit ribosomal RNA", at positions 28 to 507 of the family's 1533-position model. The record is from RNAcentral.
GACGAACGCUGGCGGCGUGCUUAACACAUGCAAGUCGAACGGAAAGGCCCUGCUUUUGUGGGGUGCUCGAGUGGCGAACGGGUGAGUAACACGUGAGUAACCUGCCCUUGACUUUGGGAUAACUUCAGGAAACUGGGGCUAAUACCGGAUAGGAGCUCCUGCUGCAUGGUGGGGGUUGGAAAGUUUCGGCGGUUGGGGAUGGACUCGCGGCUUAUCAGCUUUUUGGUGGGGUAGUGGCUUACCAAGGCUUUGACGGGUAACCGGCCUGAGAGGGUGACCGGCCACAUUGGGACUGAGAUACGGCCCAGACUCCUACGGGAGGCAGCAGUGGGGAAUAUUGCACAAUGGGCGGAAGCCUGAUGCAGCAACGCCGCGUGCGGGAUGACGGCCUUCGGGUUGUAAACCGCUUUCGCCUGUGACGAAGCGUGAGUGACGGUAAUGGGUAAAGAAGCACCGGCUAACUACGUG